UACGUAGGGGGCAAGCGUUAUCCGGAUUCACUGGGCGUAAAGGGAGCGCAGGCGGCAUGGCAAGUCUGAUGUGAAAACCCGGGGCCCAACCCCGGGAGUGCAUUGGAAACUGCCAGGCUGGAGUGUCGGAGGGGUAAGCGGAAUUCCUAGUGUAGCGGUGAAAUGCGUAGAUAUUAGGAGGAACACCAGUGGCGAAGGCGGCUUACUGGACGGAAACUGACGUUGAGGCUCGAAAGCGUGGGGAGCAGACAGG
RNAcentral lists this ribosomal RNA (253 nucleotides) under uncultured bacterium. RNAcentral describes it as "partial 16S ribosomal RNA". It matches the Rfam family "Bacterial small subunit ribosomal RNA", at positions 524 to 776 of the family's 1533-position model. The record is from RNAcentral.